RNAcentral lists this ribosomal RNA (624 nucleotides) under uncultured bacterium. Its description in RNAcentral is "bacterial SSU rRNA". It matches the Rfam family "Bacterial small subunit ribosomal RNA", at positions 874 to 1501 of the family's 1533-position model. The record is from RNAcentral.
UGGGGAGUACGAUCGCAAGAUUGAAACUCAAAGGAAUUGACGGGGGCCCGCACAAGCAGUGGAUUAUGUGGUUUAAUUCGAAGCAACGCGAAGAACCUUACCAGGGUUUGACAUCCAACUAACGAAGCAGAGAUGCAUUAGGUGCCCUUCGGGGAAAGUUGAGACAGGUGGUGCAUGGUUGUCGUCAGCUCGUGUCGUGAGAUGUUGGGUUAAGUCCCGCAACGAGCGCAACCCUUAUUGUUAGUUGCUACGCAAGAGCACUCUAACGAGACUGCCGUUGACAAAACGGAGGAAGGUGGGGACGACGUCAAAUCAUCAUGCCCCUUAUAUCCUGGGCUACACACGUAAUACAAUGGCAUUUAACAGAGGGAAGCAAUACCGCGAGGUGGAGCAAAUCCCUAAAAGGUGUCUCAGUUCGGAUUGCAGGCUGCAACUCGCCUGCAUGAAGUCGGAAUUGCUAGUAAUCGCGGAUCAGCAUGCCGCGGUGAAUACGUUCCCGGGCCUUGUACACACCGCCCGUCACACCAUGAGAGCCGGGAACACCCGAAGUCCGUAGUCUAACCGCAAGGGGGACGCGGCCGAAGGUGGGUUUGGUAAUUGGGGUGAAGUCGUAACAAGGUAACC